This 536-nucleotide ribosomal RNA is filed under the name uncultured bacterium. RNAcentral describes it as "bacterial SSU rRNA". It matches the Rfam family "Bacterial small subunit ribosomal RNA", at positions 1 to 507 of the family's 1533-position model. The record is from RNAcentral.
CCGAGUGGUAAAGCAAGGAGUUAUGGCGUUGCGAACUUUGUCGCACAACGACCAAACAAAAAGCCAACACAUGCAAGGGAAAGAACAUUAAGUGCUGAGUGCAAAACUAGUGGCGGACGGGUGAGUAACGCGUGGGCAACCUACCCAUAAGAGGGGGAUAACAGCUGGAAACGGCUGCUAAUACCGCAUAAGCUUAGCUGGACGCAUGUUUGGUUAAGUAAAGGAGGCUUAGGCUUCCGCUUAUGGAUGGGCCCGCGUCUGAUUAGCUAGUUGGUAGGGUAACGGCCUACCAAGGCGACGAUCAGUAGCCGGCCUGAGAGGGUGUACGGCCACACUGGGACUGAGACACGGCCCAGACUCCUACGGGAGGCAGCAGUGGGGAAUUUUGGACAAUGGGGGAAACCCUGAUCCAGCAAUGCCGCGUGCAGGAUGAAGGCCUUCGGGUUGUAAACUGCUUUUGUACGGAACGAAAAGUCUUGGGUUAAUACCCUGGGAUCAUGACGGUACCGUAAGAAUAAGCACCGGCUAACUACGUG